GAAAAAAAUGAAGGGGAGAGAAGAGCACAGAUGAAUUAGAAUCAAAGGGACGUGGAACUCACUUAGCCCAAGCUGUCUCUAUAGACUCCUGGAAAGCCUGGGUUUUGCCCUUUUUCUCUCCAAGCCAAUGACCUAGGCUUUAAUUCUAAGCUCAGGAGGGAACAUGAUCUCAUGGCUCCCAAACUAAGAAUAACAGGAAACUCCAUCAUCUCUGGGAAUCACAUUUUAGCUUUGUAUUCAUAAAACUGAAAAUUCUGUCUGCCCUCUGGUCUCUAAGUUUAAAGUCCACUCAGUAGAGUUCUCAGGAAUUUUGCCAUUUAUGCUAAUGAAAAUCUUUAGGCUCAGGAGAGUGAUGUCUGGGGCCUCUUAGAAUGUAUUUGAUCGUGUAGAAUAGCGACCAAAAGGAACAAUUUGCCUGAGCCACACAGAGCAGAGGCAUGAGAUUCUUCCACAUGUUCUAGCGGACACCAAUCACUGUUACACAGGCUCCCCCUCAGUUCUCCAGGAGGUGGGCAUCGCUUCAGGGCUGGCAUGUGGCAUUCNNNNNNNNNNNCUGGCAUGUGCCAUUCCUGGGCUACAGGAAGCUGCCUCGGUGGUGCCACUCAUUCUUAUGAUUCAACCUAAGGUUCCCUAUCAAAGGCAAGAUUUUAUUUCUAACUUUUGCUUCUCCAGACUGCUGUUCCUGGAACUGUCCAUCAUCGGCUGGGUCCAUACAAGCCAACUGGAAUAUUUCCUGCGGGGAGAGUGGACUCAUCGAAGGGUAUCCACUCCGGCCACUCCUGCAAAGGAAUGCCAAGUUCAGAGGUAAUGCGUGCAUAAGAGAGAAUCAGUCAUGACGUAAUGGCCAUUAUCAAUUCUCACCCAGACAAGACUUCCUUCCCAGCAAGGGCCACACCCUUGGCCUCAAUUGGUUUGUAAGCCUGGUAACUUACAGGUGGCUAGCCCUAGAAUAGAAUUUUUUUUUUUUUAAGCAUUGGAAAAGAGAAACCACUGUUUUUAACCUGCAUGUGGAACCAUUCAUCAUUCUGCUGGCGACUAGCAUAUCUGUGACAAAUGACAUCAUUUGUCACACUCAGCCAUAUGGAAGACCAAUGCUAGAUGGUAAACCUGUUUCUGCUCAGUUUCUCUGUUCGGCAGAAAAAUGCCAUAGUUUAAACAGUGAACAGUUUGUUUAAAUAUUAGGCAGUCAUAGUCUUUUCAAAAAAUUUCUUCCACUCUCUGGAAGAAUAUGGCAUUAUUGUGCCAACAUCCCUGGCCAAAUGAAACAAUUCAAUGCCAUGCACAUUUAUUAAAGGACUGCUCUAU
This 1305-nucleotide long non-coding RNA is filed under the name Sus scrofa (pig). RNAcentral describes it as "lncRNA (ENSSSCG00005022297.1)". The record is from RNAcentral. Lineage: Eukaryota; Metazoa; Chordata; Mammalia; Artiodactyla; Suidae.